Molecule: RNA transcript, 1592 nt
Organism: Xenia sp. Carnegie-2017
Lineage: Eukaryota; Metazoa; Cnidaria; Anthozoa; Malacalcyonacea; Xeniidae
Exons: 9
Source: RefSeq, a predicted model, not a curated record
UGUACAUAUUGAUAUUGUUUCUCAUGAAAAGUCAUUGGAAGUGGUUAUAUGUAGGACUGCUUUCACUAGAAAUAACUAAAAAAUUUUGAAGUAAUUUAAAGAAGGCAUGCAUUAUUUAAACACUUAUUAAAAGUCUGUACACAUUUUAAAUUAAAUAAUGGUCUUUAUUUGUAGGACUCUGAAGAUAUCUUUACCAAGCAAUCUAUCUCUAUUAUUACAGAGGAACCCAAACAACCAUGUCAACAUAGUCAAAGUCAUUUGUCACCCACUGGCCACUAUACUGGGCUAUUGUUACAGUUUGACUUUGCAUCAAAUGUAUCAUGUCAGCAAUCCUUUGUUGUUCAUGAUUAUAAUGCAAACAAAAGAACAAUUAUGCAUAAUUCAUUUGUAUUUGUACAUCGAUAUCCCCACCUAUUGCUUGAUGGCUAUGGUUGGAUAUUGUGCUGCUCAUGUGAUGCAAAUAGAAAGCAAUUUGUUGAUGCCCUACCUAAUAAUAUACAAUUAGAUCCUCAAAAAGAAUCCACAUCCAUGAUGCAGUCUGUUUUCAGUGAUCAUUCCUACCAUGAGAUGCAACCUGAAGAAGACUUGUUUAGUGCAGUGUGCAGGGAGGUUCAGUGGAUUGCUGUAAAACCAGUGAAUAGUCCAUGGGGGGUUUGUACUUUAGUGUAUUCAAAAGUAAUGCCGCCCCAGCCCGAGUUAAAAUGUUGCAGCUAUUCGUCAUAUCAUUGCAUUCAUGUGACAACCCUUGCAAAAGCCAUGCAAAUCGUUGACGAGGAUGAAAUGGAUUCUCCAUUGGCACUUUUUAAGUUUUCCUUUGGAAUUACACCAGAUGCGAGACUAUUUUGAAUUGGCUACACUUAGCAAAGAAAAGGUUUCUUUAUUUGAAACAAGUAUGCAAGAUAAUCUGCAAUGGCAAUGAGAAUGAUGCAAGCGAUUUUACUGAUCUUCCUGAAAAAAAUGGUCAUAAAAUUUUGGCGCCAUCUGAAAGUGGUAUUUGUUCUUGUGGUGCAGAGUGGGAUAAACGUUCUAUUCAAGAUGAAUGGUUGUACGUAGACUUGUGUUCAGUUGCGUACUUUUGUUCAAUCCAUGAUGUGAAGGUGUAUUGUAGACCUUGCUCCUCUUGUGCUACGAAAAAAGCAUUAUGAUGGCAUUGAAAACAGGAUUGUAUGGUUUGGAUCAUAUGCAAUAUCUCAUGCCGAUCUAAAAGAUUACAUUCGGCUUUUCAUAACGGCUUUUCGAGUUUACCUAUGUACAAAUAUUAUGUUGCAUAUGUACAAAGGCAAGUGUCUUCGGGUAGUUUGAAUUUCCCAAAGGAAAUAACUUACGCCAAGUUUCGUCUCGCUAUCAUUGCCAUGAUACGGUUGCUUGAUAUUGAUUUUGACAAUGGGUUUUUUUGUGAAUUAUGUGGAAGAAUUCCCAGAAGGUGGUGAUGGAUGGAACAACUCUUGGAAUACAGAAAACUUUCUUACCAAAUAAUUUAAGAGAGUCUGAUACUGGAUUGCUAGAUUGAAGAUAAGUAUUUUUGAAGUUUAUCUGUAAUAUAUAAUAUAUACAGGUCUGCUAAUUAGUAAAUACGAGUGUUCAUCUACGUA